CCCCCAGACUCCUACGGGAGGCAGCAGUGGGGAAUAUUGGGCAAUGGGCGCAAGCCUGACCCAGCAACGCCGCGUGAAGGAAGAAGGCUUUCGGGUUGUAAACUUCUUUUCUUGGGGACGAAGAAAGUGACGGUACCCAAGGAAUAAGCCACGGCUAACUACGUGCCAGCAGCCGCGGUAAUACGUAGGUGGCAAGCGUUAUCCGGAUUUAUUGGGUGUAAAGGGCGUGUAGGCGGGAAUGCAAGUCAGAUGUGAAAACUAUGGGCUCAACCCAUAGCCUGCAUUUGAAACUGUGUUUCUUGAGUACUGGAGAGGCAGACGGAAUUCCUAGUGUAGCGGUGAAAUGCGUAGAUAUUAGGAGGAACACCAGUGGCGAAGGCGGUCUGCUGGACAGCAACUGACGCUGAGGCGCGAAAGCGUGGGGAGCAAACAGGAUUAGAUACCCCUGUAU
RNAcentral lists this ribosomal RNA (451 nucleotides) under uncultured bacterium. Its description in RNAcentral is "bacterial SSU rRNA". It matches the Rfam family "Bacterial small subunit ribosomal RNA", at positions 328 to 793 of the family's 1533-position model. The record is from RNAcentral.